AGAGUUUGAUCCUGGCUCAGGAUGAACGCUAGCUACAGGCUUAACACAUGCAAGUCGAGGGGAAACGACAUCGAAAGCUUGCUUUUGGUGGGCGUCGACCGGCGCACGGGUGAGUAACGCGUAUCCAACCUGCCCACCACUUGGGGAUAACCUUGCGAAAGUAAGACUAAUACCCAAUGAUAUCCCACGAAGGCAUCCGAAUGGGAUUAAAGGUUUACGGUUAUGGAUGGGGAUGCGUCCGAUUAGCUUGUUGGCGGGGUAACGGCCCACCAAGGCAUCGAUCGGUAGGGGUUCUGAGAGGAAGGUCCCCCACACUGGUACUGAGACACGGACCAGACUCCUACGGGAGGCAGCAGUGAGGAAUAUUGGUCAAUGGGCGCAGGCCUGAACCAGCCAAGUCGCGUGAGGGAGGACGGUCCUACGGAUUGUAAACCUCUUUUGUCGGGGAGUAACGUGCGGGACGCGUCCCGUAUUGAGAGUACCCGAAGAAAAAGCAUCGGCUAACUCCGUGCCAGCAGCCGCGGUAAUACGGAGGAUGCGAGCGUUAUCCGGAUUUAUUGGGUUUAAAGGGUGCGCAGGCGGCGCGCCAAGUCAGCGGUCAAAGUUUCCGGGCUCAACCCUGGUGUCGCCGUUAAAACUGGGCGUGGCUCCGAGUGCGUGGCGAAGGAAGGCGGAAUUGCGUUGUGUACCGGUGAAAUGCAAAAGAAAUGACGCAAAACCCCCAAUGGCCAAAGGCCACUUUUCCCACCCCCCUACCUGACCCCGAAGGCAGCAAAAGCGGGGG
RNAcentral lists this ribosomal RNA (784 nucleotides) under uncultured bacterium. RNAcentral describes it as "bacterial SSU rRNA". It matches the Rfam family "Bacterial small subunit ribosomal RNA", at positions 8 to 765 of the family's 1533-position model. The record is from RNAcentral.